AACGAACGCUGGCGGCAUGCCUAACACAUGCAAGUCGAACGAGACCUUCGGGUCUAGUGGCGCACGGGUGCGUAACGCGUCGGAACCUGCCCUUAGGUUCGGAAUAACUCCCCGACAGGGGUGCUAAUACCGGAUAAUGUCUUCGGACCAAAGAUUUAUCGCCCUUGGAUGGGCCCGCGUUGGAUUAGCUAGUUGGUAGGGUAAAAGCCUACCAAGGCGACGAUCCAUAGCUGGUCUGAGAGGAUGAUCAGCCACACUGGGACUGAGACACGGCCCAGACUCCUACGGGAGGCAGAAGUGGGGAAUAUUGGACAAUGGGCGAAAGCCUGAUCCAGCAAUGCCGCGUGAGUGAUGAAGGCCUUAGGGUUGUAAAGCUCUUUUACCAGGGAUGAUAAUGACAGUACCGGGAGAAUAAGCACCGGCUAACUCCGUG
This 433-nucleotide ribosomal RNA is filed under the name uncultured bacterium. RNAcentral's name for it is "partial 16S ribosomal RNA". It matches the Rfam family "Bacterial small subunit ribosomal RNA", at positions 29 to 507 of the family's 1533-position model. The record is from RNAcentral.